UUGACCUCGGAUCAGGUAGGGAUACCCGCUGAACUUAAGCAUAUCAAUAAGCGGAGGAAAAGAAACCAACAGGGAUUGCCUCAGUAACGGCGAGUGAAGCGGCAAGAGCUCAAAUUUGAAAGCUGGCCCCUUCGGGGUCCGCGUUGUAAUUUGCAGAGGAUGCUUCGGGUGCANCCCCCGUCUAAGUGCCCUGGAACGGGCCGUCAUAGAGGG
This 213-nucleotide ribosomal RNA is filed under the name uncultured Trichocomaceae. RNAcentral describes it as "partial 28S large subunit ribosomal RNA". It matches the Rfam family "Eukaryotic large subunit ribosomal RNA", at positions 1 to 212 of the family's 3401-position model. The record is from RNAcentral. Lineage: Eukaryota; Fungi; Ascomycota; Eurotiomycetes; Eurotiales; Trichocomaceae.